This 456-nucleotide ribosomal RNA is filed under the name uncultured bacterium. RNAcentral describes it as "bacterial SSU rRNA". It matches the Rfam family "Bacterial small subunit ribosomal RNA", at positions 340 to 786 of the family's 1533-position model. The record is from RNAcentral.
UACGGAAGGCAGCAGUGGGGAAUAUUGCACAAUGGGCGAAAGCCUGAUGCAGCUAUGCCGCGUGUAUGAAGAAGGCCUUUAGGGGUUGUAAAGUACUUUCAUCGGGGAGGAAAAACAAAACUAAUAAUUUUAUUUCUUGACGUUACCCGAAAAAGAAGCACCGGCUAACUCCGUGCCAGCAGCCGCGGUAAUACGGAGGGUGCUAGCGUUAAUCAGAAUUACUGGGCGUAAAGAGCACGUAGGUGGUUUUUUUAAGUCAGAUGUGAAAUCCCUGGGCUUAACCUGGAACUGCAUUUUGAAACUGAAAUACUAGAGUAUCGUAGAGGGAGGUAGAAUUCUAGGUGUAGCGGUGAAAUGCGUAGAUAUCUGGAGGAAUACCUGUGGCGAAAGCGGCCUCCUAAACGAAUACUGACACUGAGGUGCGAAAGCGUGGGGAGCAAACAGGGAUUAGAUACC